UCCNCGGAAUACUUCCAGCCUACAAUAUG
RNAcentral lists this non-coding RNA (29 nucleotides) under Mus musculus (house mouse). Lineage: Eukaryota; Metazoa; Chordata; Mammalia; Rodentia; Muridae. The record is from RNAcentral.